UGGGGGAUAUUGCACAAUGGGGGAAACCCUGACGGAGCAACGCCGCGUGGACGAUGAAGGCCGGAAGGUUGUAAAGUCCUUUUAUGACAGAGGAAUAAGCGUGGGAGUGGAAAGCCCAUGUGAUGACUGUAGGUCAUGAAUAAGCACCGGCUAAUUACGUGCCAGCAGCCGCGGUAACACGUAAGGUGCGAGCGUUGUUCGGAAUCAUUGGGCGUAAAGGGCAUGUAGGCGGUCUGUCAAGCCAGGCGUGAAAGCCAGGGGCUCAACCCCUGAACUGCGCUUGGAACUGGCGGACUGGAGUCG
RNAcentral lists this ribosomal RNA (303 nucleotides) under uncultured Treponema sp. Its description in RNAcentral is "bacterial SSU rRNA". It matches the Rfam family "Bacterial small subunit ribosomal RNA", at positions 355 to 649 of the family's 1533-position model. The record is from RNAcentral. Lineage: Bacteria; Pseudomonadati; Spirochaetota; Spirochaetia; Treponematales; Treponemataceae.